GCCAGGAUGGUGAAAUGGCAGACGCAGCGGACUUAAAAUCCGCGGCUCGGUAAACGAGCGUGCGGGUUCGAGUCCCGCUCCUGGCACCA
This 89-nucleotide transfer RNA is filed under the name Kiritimatiellia bacterium. Its description in RNAcentral is "Kiritimatiellae bacterium (gut metagenome) tRNA-Leu". It matches the Rfam family "tRNA". From Rfam's summary of the family: Transfer RNA (tRNA) molecules are approximately 80 nucleotides in length. Lineage: Bacteria; Pseudomonadati; Kiritimatiellota; Kiritimatiellia. The record is from RNAcentral.